AGUCCAUGGACUGGCAACGUUCUAGGGGAUUCUCAAAAAGUGGCAAUGGUCAAUGGAUGGCAGACGAUUUUUUUGUAAAUAAAACAAAUAAACACUAUUUAGAUUACCUAGCAAAGUGAGUUAAAUUAAACUCUCCUUAUUAGUCUCCUAUCAUUUUGUUGUCAUAUUGAAACUUUCAUUGAUUUUAUGAGCUUCCAUCAUUCACCAACAGGAUACAAGCCAUAUGCCCUGACAGUCAAUUCCAGUCGAGAUGAAUUCUUUCUUUAUGCAGCAGCAAUUAGUAAGAAAUGUGAAAAAGUAUGUUGUUUGAUAUUUGGUGUUUUGGAUCAAUAUUUGAUUGUAUACAGUGGUCAUUUCUUAGUUGACAAAGAUCAAUUAUAUGAUCCCAUCAAUAAAGUUCCUGUAAAUGAAGUGAAGUUGUCAGACUUUAAUUUGUGACGCCAACAUCUGGUUCUUUUUUAUGUACCUAAUGAGAUGCUUCUUGAAAUGGGAGGCUAUUUUUUUACAAGCUGGCCAUCCAUCUUAUUGUGAGACACAGUUUGCGUCAUUCGAGAUGUUCAUGUUUUCAAUAAACCAGGUUCAGUUGAAAGAGAAAGUUCGAGACACAUUGCGCUAGAAAAGAUAAAAGCUCAAAUUAAAAAAUUGCCUCAAUUUAAAGACGUUGAGUACUUGAGUUUGGUGAAUCGAGUGUUCAAGCCAUUAUUCCAGGUAGCCAUCGGGUAAUUUCUGCCAUCUCUAAACCCAGAACGAAACACGUAUUUUUUUAAACUUGUUUGUCCAAAAAUACAAAGACAGCAUCUAACGUAUCCUGGAUAAUGUGAAGGCAGUCAUUGCGUGAAAACCCAAUACAAUCAUUUAGGCUCUUUACAACUCAGAUGCGCUACUGAAACAAAAUUUUUCACGGUGUAUGCAGUUUACGAAGAACCUGUCCAGAUGUACGCGGCGUUCUAUCGUAAUGUGUUUUUGUUAGGUUACGUAGACGGUCACCAUAUUGUGGGAGUAGUUGCCGACCAAAUAUUCUUCGUAAUGGCUACGAAAAUACUCUACAGUCGAAAUAGUCUUCCUUUUCCGGGGAUGCAACCCAUUAAGUUUUUCCCUCAGAUGAUUGAAAUGAUUGUUCUCCCACUAUGAUUACAUUUUUUACUAAUCAUGUUCAGAUUCUUCGUCAUUCCAAAGAAUACGCGUGCAAUUUUCAACGGGCCGUGGAAUCUUUCGAAAUUCUUGAUUUGGAACGCCCAUCAUUCAUGAUGUGCGUUCCAGUUUAUCAACUCUUUUUUUAUGAUUCCGGGCUGCAUAGUCGAAAAAAUCACAAUGCUUGGUUGGAAGAUAUGUUGAACCUGUGUUACAAUCCCACUUUCCACAACUCGAGAACGAGUUUCCGGUUUACCCGACAAGUUCGAAAAAUGUUCUUCUCUUUUCUGAAAAUGUGACAAAGCUGUGGAUCCAUCAAUUCAUCAAUUGUUGCGUAAAAUUCACGAAUUUAAAGACUCGUCGUUGGAUGGCCAUAUCAAUCACGCUGAUAUAUCAAAAAUGGAUUUCUUCACUUUGAACAUCAAAACCUUCAUAGCCAAUUUUCUCCCGUUAUUCGGAUUUUCGGUCGAUAGCAAAUUCCAGUGUCAACUCAAAGUUCUAGGCACAGAUGGGGUCCCCUCAGCAGUCUGUUCAGAAGAUUUGUCAGCUCAUCAAAUUGGCGCCCAGAUUUACGAACAUCAUAUCUUGCCUCUUUCGUGGGAUGAAAACCAUUGCAAGAAUUUUAUUUUUUCUCCUUUCUCGCUGAUCUACAAAUCACACAAUCCUCCCUUAAGUCACGGUUGUGACAACGAAAGGCUCAGAUGGGCACGCAGCACGCUCUCUUGUUGAUCGUUAGUCUGGAGGUUCCUUCAACGAGAGGUUGGCGAAGGUCAGUUGGACAACGGAGUUCCGACUAUUAGAAAGGCGCGUCAAAAGAAGAGAGCCGUGGAAAGCCAGAGUUAAUCAGAAAAGGAGGCUUACUUCCGGUAUACUUCUUCCAGCCCAAAGCGUGGAAAACGGUCAGCAGAUAUGAGUUCAAUCAAUUCUGAUUGAUACUGUUUUAAUUGUUUAAUUUUAUAUGAAAAAUGUGUGGCCCUGACACUAACGUUUUAUUGUUCCUUGUAUAUGCAAGUAAUUUUCUGAUGAUUUCUUUUGUCACGUUAACAUCAACCGAGAAAAUAAAUUUACCCCGUCAUUAAAUGGGAUGACUUGAAUCUAAA
This 2231-nucleotide long non-coding RNA is filed under the name Daphnia pulex (common water flea). Its description in RNAcentral is "uncharacterized LOC124197965, transcript variant X8". Lineage: Eukaryota; Metazoa; Arthropoda; Branchiopoda; Diplostraca; Daphniidae. The record is from RNAcentral.